Long non-coding RNA from Erinaceus europaeus (western European hedgehog), 445 nucleotides. RefSeq lists it as uncharacterized. The record is from RefSeq and is a predicted model, not a curated record. The transcript is spliced from 3 exons. Lineage: Eukaryota; Metazoa; Chordata; Mammalia; Eulipotyphla; Erinaceidae.
UCAGACUCAUGUCUCGACUGGUGAAUUUCAUGGAGAAUUCCACUUUGAUCUGGUGGGGAGUAAGGCAGGGCCACCAAGUUACAGAUGCUACCAUGACUCCAGCCUGACUUCCAUGGGCAGACAAUCUCAUUGAUGUAGCCUGGAACUCCACCCCUCCAGAGCCCUGCCCAACUAGGAAAAAAUAGAAACAGGCUGGAAGUAUGGAUCGACCUGCCAACGCCCAUUACCAGUGGAGAAGCAAUUACAGAAGUCAGACCUUCCACCUUCUGCACCCCAUAAUGACCCUGGGUCCAUGCUCCCAGAGGGAUAAAGAAAAGGAAAGCUUUCAAGGGAGGGCAAGAACUGCCACCUGGCUUGUGACAGGCUCUGCAACCUAGCCAUUAGAGCCUUUCGCUUCCUCAACACCUACACCACCAGCACAUCGAAGGCCUCUCCGGUGGCCACA